Long non-coding RNA from Xyrauchen texanus (razorback sucker), 226 nucleotides. RefSeq lists it as uncharacterized. NCBI's taxonomy places the organism in Eukaryota, Metazoa, Chordata, Actinopteri, Cypriniformes, Catostomidae. The record is from RefSeq and is a predicted model, not a curated record. The transcript has 3 exons.
UACGGGGGGUGGCCCUCCAACCCAAGACUUCACCACAGCAGAGGAGCUGGCCCUGGACUUAAAUAAAGGGAAGCCAGUGAUUGAAGGGAUCCAGGGAGGGACAGCCACUGACUCUGGCCCAGCAAGGGAUACUGGCCUCUUCAUACAAGUGGCUGGCAACACCCUUACACUUUUGGAGCCACCAGACUAUGAUUCGCCGAGGGAAGCCACAUCUACAGCAGUGGAG